Molecule: ribosomal RNA, 253 nt
Filed under: uncultured bacterium
Lineage: Bacteria
Description: partial 16S ribosomal RNA
Rfam family: Bacterial small subunit ribosomal RNA
Source: RNAcentral
UACGGGGUGGGCAAGCGUUGUUCGGAAUUACUGGGCGUAAAGGGCUCGUAGGCGGCCAACUAAGUCAGACGUGAAAUCCCUCGGCUUAACCGGGGAACUGCGUCUGAUACUGGAUGGCUUGAAUCCGGGAGAGGGAUGCGGAAUUCCAGGUGUAGCGGUGAAAUGCGUAGAUAUCUGGAGGAACACCGGUGGCGAAGGCGGCAUCCUGGACCGGCAUUGACGCUGAGGAGCGAAAGCCAGGGGAGCAAACGGG